This 1697-nucleotide ribosomal RNA is filed under the name Liosomadoras morrowi. Its description in RNAcentral is "partial 16S ribosomal RNA". It matches the Rfam family "Bacterial large subunit ribosomal RNA". Lineage: Eukaryota; Metazoa; Chordata; Actinopteri; Siluriformes; Auchenipteridae. The record is from RNAcentral.
GCCAAACAGCUAGCUUAACCCCUAGAUAAUCAAGACAACAUUAAAAUAUUCCACAUAAACCAAACCAAACUAAACCAAAACAUUUUUCCGCCCAAGUAUGUGAGACAAAAAAGGCACACCACUUUAUAAAGCUUUAGUAAAAGUACCGCAAGGGAACGCUGAAAGAGAAAUGAAACAAAUCAUUUAAGCACAACAAAGCAGAGACUAAACCUCGUACCUUUUGCAUCAUGAUUUAGCCAACCCCUCUGAGCAAAGAGAACUUUAGUUCAAGCCCCCGAAACUAAGUGAGCUACCCCGGGACAGCCAAUUAAUUAGGGCCAACCCGUCUCUGUGGCAAAAGAGUGGGAAGAUCCCCGGGUAGAGGUGACAGACCUACCGAACUUAGUUAUAGCUGGUUGCCUAGGAAAUGAAUAGAAGUUCAGCCUCGUGCUCCUCAACUCACCCCAACAAUAUACAACACGAGCAAGAGAAAUCCACGAGAGUUAGUCGUAGGGGGUACAGCCCCUACGAAACAGGAUACAACCUACACAGGAGGUUACAGAUUACACUACCAAAGACACUGCCGCUCUAGUGGGCCUAAAAGCAGCCACCUAAACAGAAAGCGUUAAAGCUCUGGCGACCUAUAAGUCUAUUAUACAAAUAUAACAUCUAAAACCCCUAACCAUACUAGGCUAUUCCAUGCCAACAUGGAAGAAACCCUGCUAAAAUGAGUAAUAAGAAGUCAACGUACUUCUCCAGGCCCAUGUGUACACCAGAUUGGACCUCCCACUGGUAAUUAUCGAGCCCAACAAAAGAGGGCACUAUGAACGCACUAAACAACAAGAAAUCAUCAUAUAAUUUAAUCGUUAACCCCACACUGGUGGGCCCAUACUAAAGGAAAGACUAAAAGAAGAGGAAGGAACUCGGCAAACAUAAGCCUCGCCUGUUUACCAAAAACAUCGCCUCCUGCAAAAAUCAAAGUAUAGGAGGUCUUGCCUGCCCAGUGACAAGUUAAACGGCCGCGGUAUUUUGACCGUGCAAAGGUAGCGCAAUCACUUGUCUUUUAAAUGAAGACCUGUAUGAAUGGUAGAACGAGGGCUUGACUGUCUCCCCCCUCAAGUCAAUGAAAUUGAUCUGUCCGUGCAGAGGCGGACAUACAUAUACAAGACGAGAAGACCCUUUGGAGCUUAAGAUACAAGACCAACUAUGUCAAUACACCAAAAAUUAAAUUAAACUAAAUAGCACAUGGUCCCUAUCUUCGGUUGGGGCGACCACGGAAGAAAAUAAAGCUUCCACGCGGACUGGGGCUUCCAAGCCCUGAAACCAAGAAAGACACUUCUAAGCAACAGAACAUCUGACCUACAAGAUCCGGCAAAUCCGCCGAUCAACGGACCAAGUUACCCUAGGGAUAACAGCGCAAUCCCCUUUAAGAGUCCAUAUCGACAAGGGGGUUUACGACCUCGAUGUUGGAUCAGGACAUCCUAAUGGUGCAGCCGCUAUUAAGGGUUCGUUUGUUCAACGAUUAAAGUCCUACGUGAUCUGAGUUCAGACCGGAGCAAUCCAGGUCAGUUUCUAUCUGUAAUGAAACUUCUUCCCAGUACGAAAGGACCGGAAUAAGGAGGCCUAUGUCAACGACACGCCUCACCCCUACUUAAUGAAAACAACUAAAUUAAAUAAAGGGAGACCAUUACCCAACAAUCUAGAUAAGAUUAUUAAGA